This is a long non-coding RNA of Oryzias melastigma (Indian medaka), 379 nucleotides long. RefSeq lists it as uncharacterized. The record is from RefSeq and is a predicted model, not a curated record. The transcript has 3 exons. NCBI's taxonomy places the organism in Eukaryota, Metazoa, Chordata, Actinopteri, Beloniformes, Adrianichthyidae.
UCAAGACCCUCUUAAAGGUGACACAUUUAGAUUGAAUUCAUUUUACUCAAAUUUAGUAGUUAAUCAGAAAAUUAUGUAUAUCUCAUUCAUGUUAACUAAAGUUAUUUAAUAGCAAAGAGCCUCUGAUCCAUUAACUCAAAAUUAUUAAGUUUUAUUUUGUCCGCCUCCCUGUGCGCAUGUGCAUGUGGUUCAACGGUCUCUCCCUUCCUCCAAGUCUCCUUCCCGCACUAUCAGAAGCUGCACGUCGGACUUCGGGUUUGAAAAUAGAACUAAUUCCUGAGUGAUCAUCACUGUUACCAGGAGUUAUCUGUAGCAACCUCCUUGUAAUAGUUGAUGUCUGGACAUGCAAAGCAUCCAGUUUGGAGUCAUCUAGCAUUUG